GGUGGAGUGACCGAGUGGCCAGGUCGCGGUCCGCAAGACCGUGCACGCAGGUUCGAUUCCUGCCUCCACCUCAA
Molecule: transfer RNA, 74 nt
Filed under: Microbacterium maritypicum MF109
Lineage: Bacteria; Bacillati; Actinomycetota; Actinomycetes; Micrococcales; Microbacteriaceae
Description: tRNA-Cys
Rfam family: tRNA
About the family: Transfer RNA (tRNA) molecules are approximately 80 nucleotides in length.
Source: RNAcentral